UACGUAGGGUGCGAGCGUUAAUCGGAAUUACUGGGCGUAAAGCGUGCGUAGACGGUUUCGUAAGUCGGGUGUGAAAUCCCCGGGCUCAACCUGGGAAAUGCAUUCAGGACUGGGCGGCUAGAGGACCGGAGAGGAUAGUGGAAUUCCCAGUGUAGUGGUGAAAUACGUAGAGAUUGGGAAGAACACCAGUGGCGAAGGCGACUAUCUGGACGGUUUCUGACACUAAGACUCGAAAGCGUGGGGAGCAAACAGG
RNAcentral lists this ribosomal RNA (253 nucleotides) under uncultured prokaryote. RNAcentral describes it as "partial 16S ribosomal RNA". It matches the Rfam family "Bacterial small subunit ribosomal RNA", at positions 524 to 776 of the family's 1533-position model. The record is from RNAcentral.